This 368-nucleotide ribosomal RNA is filed under the name uncultured organism. Its description in RNAcentral is "bacterial SSU rRNA". It matches the Rfam family "Bacterial small subunit ribosomal RNA", at positions 64 to 433 of the family's 1533-position model. The record is from RNAcentral.
GAGGGAAGGCUCCCGAAUCUGAUCGAAUAAUGUGCUGGAGUACACGAGCGGCGGACGGCUGAGUAACGCGUAGGAACGUACCCCAAAGUGAGGGAUAAGCACCAGAAAUGGUGUCUAAUACCGCAUGUGAUCCAAGGAUUAAAGCUUCGGCGCUUUGGGAACGGCCUGCGUAAGAUUAGCUAGUUGGUGAGGUAAUAGCUCACCAAGGCGACGAUCUUUAGCUGGUUUGAGAGGAUGAUCAGCCAGACUGGGACUGAGACACGGCCCAGACUCCUACGGGAGGCAGCAGUAGGGAAUCUUCCACAAUGGGCGAAAGCCUGAUGGAGCAACGCCGCGUGCAGGAUGAAUGCCUUCGGGUUGUAAACUGC